AAAGAAGACAUGAAGGUUUGAGUUGUUCAAGAACAAACCAAGGUUUGCUGUUUGUCACAGUUGCAGAUUCAAAUGCCUUUGGGAUCAAGCAGCUUUAACCAAACUUGAGUAAGAACUCCCUGACUUGGAAACACUCAAGUUUCCCACACAUGACUGGAUGGCCCUGGCCACACUGGGAACGGAAUGGGGGCCUCCCAUUGGAACUCAGGGUGGAGGGGGAAGCUCGACCAGCUAUUGUGGCCCCCACUUCCAUUGACAAACCCUGAGAUGCCAUGUAUGCAGCUCG
RNAcentral lists this long non-coding RNA (286 nucleotides) under Homo sapiens (human). Its description in RNAcentral is "HSALNT0089723". Lineage: Eukaryota; Metazoa; Chordata; Mammalia; Primates; Hominidae. The record is from RNAcentral.